Molecule: ribosomal RNA, 117 nt
Filed under: Thermothelomyces thermophilus
Lineage: Eukaryota; Fungi; Ascomycota; Sordariomycetes; Sordariales; Chaetomiaceae
Description: partial 28S ribosomal RNA
Source: RNAcentral
CGGCUGCCCGCAGGCCCUGAAAACCAGUGGCGGGCUCGCUAGUCACACCGGGCGUAGUAGCAUACGACCUCGCUCAGGGCGUGCUGCGGGUUCCAGCCGUAAAACGAACCCUUUUCG